Molecule: long non-coding RNA, 579 nt
Filed under: Coturnix japonica (Japanese quail)
Lineage: Eukaryota; Metazoa; Chordata; Aves; Galliformes; Phasianidae
Description: lncRNA (ENSCJPG00005001932.1)
Source: RNAcentral
AUGUCAGGAGAGUUUGGAUUCAUCACCAAUCCCUCUGCCCGGAGACCCAGAUCAGAAGUGAUUUCAUUCAUGAAGCCUCUCUGCCAGAGCUCGUUAGUGAAGUGUGACAACAAAAAAAUAGAAAAAAAUAAAUCCCUCAAAGGGAAAAAGAAGGAGGGGGAAUCAAAGAAGGAAGACUCAGAUAUUCUGUCAGGUAUGUUUGUGUUGUUUGUUUUUUCAAAGGUUUUGUGAAAAUGCACUUACUUAAAAGGAAAAUUUGUUUUAUUAACUUCUCUGUAGAAUUAAUAUUCGCCCAUAGAAAAUGCAGCCUCCUCUAAUUUUGGCUGUUUAUCUCUCUUCAUUUUGUGUGCAUGUGUGUGAGUGAAAUCUUGUACCCACUGAGCUUCCAUAAAAUUAUAUGAUGCCUGGGUCCCUUACAUCCUGUGUUCAGCACAAAGCAGGAACCCGAAUGCUGCAGCUGGAUGCACGAUUGCUGAUGUCCAGAAUAUCUGAUGUGAUAUAUGACUUGAAGAGGAGCAACGUUUUCUUCAGUAAAAGAGGUGAAAUAAAAGGGUAAGUUUUAAAAGGUGAGUUUUCUUG